This is a non-coding RNA of Lupinus albus (white lupine), 133 nucleotides long. Lineage: Eukaryota; Viridiplantae; Streptophyta; Magnoliopsida; Fabales; Fabaceae. The record is from the annotation of a GenBank genome assembly.
AUUCUCAACUGAAAUCUAAUCAUUCAAACCCUGAAUGGAUUUGAUUCUGAGUACAAUCCUGUCGUGGUAAAACUCUCUGAUCAAAUCAAUCUAAGUUGGAUUGAUUUACAAUCCCAAUUUCUGAGUUUUGAGA